This 222-nucleotide long non-coding RNA is filed under the name Elaeis guineensis (African oil palm). RNAcentral describes it as "long non-coding RNA (EGUI_LNC002164)". The record is from RNAcentral. Lineage: Eukaryota; Viridiplantae; Streptophyta; Magnoliopsida; Arecales; Arecaceae.
GGCCUGGAUGGUAUGGAGAUUUCUCGAACCUAGAACACUGAGAAUCUAUAGAUGUAUUAUCAAUAAGAACACCUUAUAAAUAAAAAAAUUUUUCCUACAAUUUUGUAUUAAACAACUCAACUCUUGGAGGCUGAACACUCGAUCGAAUUAGAGGUCACCUCGAUCGGGUCUAAGGUGUGAUGAUGGGGACUCUUGGUUAAGGACCAAAGCCGCCUUGGCGAG